CACAGAGAGAAUUUAAAUAUGAGGAAAUAAAUGCAAAUUAUGUUUAAAUGGUUCUGCUGUGUCAUUUCCUGGGGGUUUGAUCAUGUAGGUGUUUAGACCGAAGGGGAAACCUUCUGAUUUCUCUGAUGAAGCCAAUAAGGAAAGUGACUUGAGGCUGGCUCCAAAAGGGAGUCAAUUCCCAUAAACUCCCAUGUUAAAAAUGCCCAACUUUACAGUAGAAAAUAAUACGUUUACAGCCUGGUACAAAACGUGUUUUUGGUCUAAUUUUAGCUAAUUUUGCCCUUCAUGACAACUGUGAGGGGGGUGAAAUGUUUUGUAAAUCAUCCGUUUAAAUUAUAUUAAGCCUUAAACUUCUGCAUAAUUAAGGGCGUGGCCGCUUGAGUGACGGUUAAACAGCCACUGUGGUCACUAGAAUCAAGCUAGGCGGGGGUGAUUUCAACAACCAACCACCUCAGCUUCACCCAUGUCCCGCCUCUUUACCCAUUUUCGGUGAUUUGCGGUGACGCGCGGCCAAGAUGGCGACUUUAAGUUUCAAAAACGAUUUUCACAAACCAAUGGGUGACUUCACCGACACUACGUCCAUAUUGUUU
Non-coding RNA from Misgurnus anguillicaudatus (oriental weatherfish), 590 nucleotides. The record is from RefSeq and is a predicted model, not a curated record. NCBI's taxonomy places the organism in Eukaryota, Metazoa, Chordata, Actinopteri, Cypriniformes, Cobitidae.